GUUGAACGCUGGCGGCAUGCCUAAUACAUGCAAGUCGAGCGAACGGACGAGACUCUCGCUUCGCUGCAGUUACCGGCGGACGGGUGAUUCCUACGAAGAUACCCUACCUAUAGGACUGAGGUCACUUCAGGAGAGCUGAUAUCACAUAGGUCGAUAUUUUGAACCGCAUGGAUCUUCAGAGCACGCCGGAUCUGCUGAGCCUAGUAGAUGGUACCAGGUUGGAUUAGCUAGUUGGUACGGUAACGGCCUACCAAGGCGACGAUGCGUAGCCGACCUGAGAGGAUGAUCAGUCACACUGGAACUGAGACACGGUCCAGACUCCUACGGGAGGCAGCAGUAGGGAAUCUUCCGCAAUGGGCGAAAGCCUGACGCAGCAACGCCGCGUGUGUGAUGAAGGUCUUCGGAUCGUAAAGCACUGUUAGUUGGGAGGAACAUAUGUAUGUUAAACUGUGCACAUCUUGACGGUACCUACACAGAAAGCCACGGCUAACUACGUG
This 497-nucleotide ribosomal RNA is filed under the name uncultured bacterium. Its description in RNAcentral is "partial 16S ribosomal RNA". It matches the Rfam family "Bacterial small subunit ribosomal RNA", at positions 28 to 507 of the family's 1533-position model. The record is from RNAcentral.